RNAcentral lists this unclassified non-coding RNA (170 nucleotides) under uncultured fungus. RNAcentral's name for it is "sequence contains ITS1". The record is from RNAcentral. Lineage: Eukaryota; Fungi.
UCGAGUGUUUACCUCCCCGUAAAAAAGGGGGGUUACCUCCCGUCCUUUGCUAGGGCCCCUAUUUUAGGGGCUUUUUCAGAACCCUUCUGCUUCGGCGGGGUUUAACCCUGCCGGAACACCCUCAAACUCUUUUAAUUGUUCUGUCCGAGAACUUUUUUAAAAUUGACAUA